RNAcentral lists this ribosomal RNA (400 nucleotides) under uncultured bacterium. RNAcentral's name for it is "bacterial SSU rRNA". It matches the Rfam family "Bacterial small subunit ribosomal RNA", at positions 359 to 776 of the family's 1533-position model. The record is from RNAcentral.
GAAUUUUGCUCAAUGGGGGAAACCCUGAAGCAGCAACGCCGCGUGAGGGAUGAAGGCCUUCGGGUUGUAAACCUCUUUUCUCAGGGAAGAUAAUGACGGUACCUGAGGAAUAAGCCACGGCUAACUACGUGCCAGCAGCCGCGGUAAUACGUAGGUGGCGAGCGUUGUCCGGAUUUACUGGGCGUAAAGAGCGCGCAGGCGGUCGUGCAAGUCGCGUGUGAAAGCCCCCGGCUCAACUGGGGAGGGUCACGCGAUACUGCUCGACUCGAAGGCAGGAGAGGGAAGUGGAAUUCCCGGUGUAGUGGUGAAAUGCGUAGAUAUCGGGAGGAACACCAGUGGCGAAGGCGACUUCCUGGCCUGUUCUUGACGCUGAGGCGCGAAAGCUAGGGUAGCAAACGGG